RNAcentral lists this unclassified non-coding RNA (264 nucleotides) under Hevea brasiliensis (rubber tree). Lineage: Eukaryota; Viridiplantae; Streptophyta; Magnoliopsida; Malpighiales; Euphorbiaceae. The record is from RNAcentral.
GUGGCUUCAUGAAGAUCAUCUUCGUCGAGUUAUUAGAUCCCGAUGGGUCCAGGGCGGCGACACGGCGGCGAUUGAUGUAACUAAUUAUGAGAGGGAUGAAAAUAAUUGGCCAUCCGCCGGUUUCUAGAAAGCUAGAGAGCCAGACGCGCUUUCCGCCGUGAACGAAAUACAAACGCAUAACCAAAGGACCGCCGCAGUUACCGACGGCCAACAAAAAGCAAUUGAAAACUAGAAGAGUUGUUUUCAUGGCAGUGGUGGUUUUUU